UCUCCCGUGAGGGAGCAGUCUCGCCUGACAUAUAAAACAGGCAACGGGGGUUGCGUUCGUUUCCCCACUUAAGGGAACAGCUCAAGCCACGAACUGACGACGACCAUGCAUCACCUGUCUAGCACCUUCGAAAGCUUCUCCAGUUUCCUGGAGCGUGCAGCUAGAUUUCUAACCCUGGUAAGGUUCUUCGCUUACCGACGAAUUAAGCCACAUGAUCCACCGCUUGUGCGAGUUCCCGUCUAUUCCUUUGAGUUUUAACCUUGCGGUCGUACUACCCAGGCGGUUCUCUUAACGCGUUAGCUACGCCACAAAGAGGGUCGAUACUCCUUAUAGCUAGAGAACAUAGUUUAGGGCGUGGACUAC
Molecule: unclassified non-coding RNA, 363 nt
Filed under: uncultured bacterium
Lineage: Bacteria
Description: contains 16S-23S intergenic spacer region
Source: RNAcentral